GAUGAAGAACGUAGCGAAAUGCGAUACGUAAUGUGAAUUGCAGAAUUCAGUGAAUCAUCGAAUCUUUGAACGCAUAUUGCGCUCUCUGGUAUUCCGGAGAGCAUGCUUGUUUGAGUAUCAGUAAACACCUCAACUUCCAUAUCUUUUUUGAAAUGGGAGUUGGACUUGAGUGAUCCCAACGCUUUUCCUCACCGAAAAGUGGCGGGUUACUUGAAAUGCAGGUGCAGCUGGACUUUUCUCUGAGCUAUAAGCAUAUCUAUUUAGUCUGCCUAAAAAACAGAUUAUUACCUUUGCUGCAGCUAACAUAAAGGAGAUUAGUUCUUGUGCUGACUGAUGCAGGAUUCACAAAGACGGCUUCGGCCGACUUUGUAAACUCGAUCUCAAAUCAAGUAAGACUACCCGCUGAACUUAAGCAUAUCAAUAAGCGAGGA
This 431-nucleotide unclassified non-coding RNA is filed under the name soil metagenome. RNAcentral describes it as "partial contains 5.8S ribosomal RNA, internal transcribed spacer 2, and large subunit ribosomal RNA". The stretch from base 1 to 120 matches the Rfam family "5.8S ribosomal RNA", at positions 35 to 154 of the family's 154-position model. The record is from RNAcentral.